This 450-nucleotide ribosomal RNA is filed under the name uncultured prokaryote. RNAcentral describes it as "bacterial SSU rRNA". It matches the Rfam family "Bacterial small subunit ribosomal RNA", at positions 355 to 796 of the family's 1533-position model. The record is from RNAcentral.
UCGGGAAUUUUGGGCAAUGGGGGAAACCCUGACCCAGCAACGCCGCGUGAGGGAUGAAGGCCUUCGGGUCGUAAACCUCUGUCGGGAGGGAAGAACGGUCGUUGGUCCAAUAGGCCUUCGAUUUGACGGUACCUCCAAAGGAAGCACCGGCUAACUCCGUGCCAGCAGCCGCGGUAAUACGGAGGGUGCAAGCGUUGUUCGGAAUUACUGGGCGUAAAGCGCGUGUAGGCGGUCCGACAAGUCGGAUGUGAAAGCCCGAGGCUCAACCUCGGAACUGCAUUCGAAACUGUCGGACUAGAGUCCCGGAGAGGAUGGUGGAAUUCCCAGUGUAGAGGUGAAAUUCGUAGAUAUUGGGAGGAACACCAGUGGCGAAGGCGGCCAUCUGGACGGUGACUGACGCUGAGACGCGAAAGCGUGGGGAGCAAACAGGAUUAGAUACCCGCGUAGUCC